GGCGAGGUGCCGGAGUGGACGAACGGGGCGGUCUCGAAAACCGCUGUGGGUCUUGACGGCCCACCGGGGGUUCGAAUCCCUCCCUCGCCG
RNAcentral lists this transfer RNA (90 nucleotides) under Thermocrinis minervae. RNAcentral describes it as "Aquificaceae bacterium CR11 tRNA". It matches the Rfam family "tRNA". From Rfam's summary of the family: Transfer RNA (tRNA) molecules are approximately 80 nucleotides in length. Lineage: Bacteria; Pseudomonadati; Aquificota; Aquificia; Aquificales; Aquificaceae. The record is from Rfam by way of RNAcentral.